GGAAGAAUUGUUAGGAAUCAUAGUGUCUUCAGAUUUGGAGGACGGUGCUACUUCUUUCACAUCAAUAUAAGUGCUUAAGAAUAAGGUAAGUAUCGUGUUGCAUUCUCUAAUGACUUAAAGUAUGAUACCAUGGUAAGUCAAUAUUAAAAGAUGGUUUAAAUAUGUUUUAUGUCCUUGAAAAUGUACAAUAUUUUUCUUUUCAGGUCCUAAUGGAGUGAUAUGAGGAACCAUAGCGUAAUCUUUAGGGUCGAAGAUGGAAAAUCUGGACGUGUCCAGAAUACCUAGGUUCGGUAAACAAGGGUCAUAUACAAUGCCCCUACCAUGGUUAGUAUUCAUUGGAAUGAAUAACUUCU
RNAcentral lists this long non-coding RNA (353 nucleotides) under Lathyrus oleraceus (garden pea). RNAcentral describes it as "Pisum sativum (pea) long non-coding RNA (PSAT_LNC040013)". The record is from RNAcentral. Lineage: Eukaryota; Viridiplantae; Streptophyta; Magnoliopsida; Fabales; Fabaceae.